AAUAGAUACCCGGGUAGUCCACGCCGUAAACGAUGAGUGCUAAGUGUUAGGGGGUUUCCGCCCCUUAGUGCUGCAGCUAACGCAUUAAGCACUCCGCCUGGGGAGUACGGUCGCAAGACUGAAACUCAAAGGAAUUGACGGGGGCCCGCACAAGCGGUGGAGCAUGUGGUUUAAUUCGAAGCAACGCGAAGAACCUUACCAGGUCUUGACAUCCCAUUGACCACUAUGGAGACAUAGUUUUCCCUUCGGGGACAACGGUGACAGGUGGUGCAUGGUUGUCGUCAGCUCGUGUCGUGAGAUGUUGGGUUAAGUCCCGCAACGAGCGCAACCCUUGUUCUUAGUUGCCAUCAUUUAGUUGGGCACUCUAAGGAGACUGCCGGUGACAAACCGGAGGAAGGUGGGGAUGACGUCAAAUCAUCAUGCCCCUUAUGACCUGGGCUACACACGUGCUACAAUGGACGGUACAAACGGUUGCCAACCCGCGAGGGGAGCUAAUCCGAUAAAACCGUUCUCAGUUCGGAUUGUAGGCUGCAACUCGCCUACAUGAAGACC
Molecule: ribosomal RNA, 552 nt
Filed under: uncultured bacterium
Lineage: Bacteria
Description: bacterial SSU rRNA
Rfam family: Bacterial small subunit ribosomal RNA
Source: RNAcentral